This 72-nucleotide transfer RNA is filed under the name Bos taurus (domestic cattle). It matches the Rfam family "tRNA". From Rfam's summary of the family: Transfer RNA (tRNA) molecules are approximately 80 nucleotides in length. Their secondary structure includes four short double-helical elements and three loops (D, anti-codon, and T loops). Lineage: Eukaryota; Metazoa; Chordata; Mammalia; Artiodactyla; Bovidae. The record is from Rfam by way of RNAcentral. RNAcentral also lists the same sequence under 1 other name.
UCCCUGGUGGCUCAGAUGGUAAAGAAUCUGCCUACAAUGCAGGAGACCCGGGUUCAAUCCCUGGGUAGGGAA